GGAGGAGUGAAUAGUUUUUUAGUUUUAUAAAUUUGUUCGAUUACAUAUUUGUCCAUUUAAUUAUUGGUAAUUAAUUAUGAUAGCACUACUAUUUUUAAAAUGUAUGUGUAAUUUGGUGAUCGAUCCACUAAAUCCAUCCCCAAUAAGAAUAGACAAUUCGAACUCAAUAUUCAGAGAAGCUUAUUCUUCGCGAACUCACCCGAUAGCGUUUGGAUUAAAAAAAUUUGAUAAUAAGCGAACAUACGAAAAAGUACAAAGAGAAACUCAGAAAAGAAGACUUGAGUUAUAUGAAAAGUUUAUUGAAAACAACAAAAAUAAUCUCCAUUUAUAAAGAAGGGCCCUUACUUACGAGGGCCAUACAAUUCGGACUUGAAAACGACAAUAGAUAGAUCGAAUAUAUUCAAUAAGAAACUCUGAGAAAGAGAGUUUCAAAAAUACCUGAUACCUCGCCAAUAAAAUUGGGCGGGAUCACUAAUUUUUUUCAAAAAGCGUCUUCCCCUACAUGGACUCUUCAAUCUAGUUUAGAAAAUAGACGACCGAAAGAAGAUCCAGAUUAUAAAGAGAAUACCCGGGAUCAGCCGGUGGUACGUUCGUCUCAACGAAAGAUUCAGAGAAAGAGAGUGAGAAAUUAAAAAAUUUUUUUCACCCUUCAUUUAUGAUAAUUUAUUUUAUAAUACUGGUCAGCUGACACCUGAUGAUUUUUAGGAUUUUUUCCGACAGAUAAAUUAUUAUAAUAAAUGUUUUCUAAAAAAUAUUCCACUUCUAUGUACCAACUCCUUUGCCGACGAAACUCGACGAACCUAUAUCUAUUUUUCGGGAAUCGUGGUCGCAAACUCCCGCGAUAAAUUUUCGGUUUGAAAAAUCAAAUAAAAAAAAAGAGCCAUUCGGCAGCCGAAAUGGAAGUAGAUUUCAUAAUUUAUUACUAAAUGCCUAGCAAUUGAAUAAGAAAAGAUUAUAUAUAUAUUGUGUAACGAUGUACAACAAUUUUUGAAAAUUCCGACAUAGAGUACUAACGAUAUAGUUCGAUUUCUAUAUGAAAUCUACUGAAAAUUAUAAAAAUUAAUUUCAAGCCAAACAAAUUUUUUGAAAAUUCUUGUAAUUU
Molecule: long non-coding RNA, 1102 nt
Organism: Cotesia glomerata
Lineage: Eukaryota; Metazoa; Arthropoda; Insecta; Hymenoptera; Braconidae
Exons: 3
Source: RefSeq, a predicted model, not a curated record